AGCAAGAGAUGAAUGCUGUGUGCAUCACGAUUUUAAAACUGUAUUUUAUUUCCUGCGAGUAAGAAAGUUGUACAUUGACUGAGAAUAAUUGUUUGUCGGAAGAAGAUGAAAGCUUGUGUUUAUAUAAUAUGUGAGAACAGAGAGAAAAGUGUAUAUAUAUAAACAGAAGAGAAGAAGAUUGAAGAGGAAGGUAUAUAUAUAUAUAUAUAUAUAAAUGGAGAGUACUCGAAGAAACGAUCUAGGACACAAAAAGUGGUAAUUGAAUAUGAAAGAGAUAAAAAUACGAAAUUAAGCUCAAGGGGAUGAUAAUAAUCUCACAACAAAAGGAGAGAAAUUGUAUAAUUAUAGUUUCACAACAAGAAGCAAUUCAACUUCCAAACGGUAAUAAUGAAGAAUUUGCUAAAGUAAUUUUUUUCACUGAUACACAUGCAAAGCUUCGUUGGAAAAAAAGGCAUUAUUGAUCAUUAUUCAAUUUACGCACGCGAAAUAAAUCUUGGAAAACGUAUAUUAUGCGCUUUGACUGUUGUCUUAGAAGAAACUAAUAAAUUCAUUGUCAGUGGUCUCACUCCUGGUGGGAAAUAUAAAUUUGAAAUUGAGCCCGUGAGCUAUGAUAAUAAGAAUUAUUCUUCUCUUUAUACCAAUGAAAUCGUCACUGAUAAUCCAACAGCCAAGCCUAAUGGUCUCAAAGGAUUAAUUAAGGUGUUGAAUUUUACGAAUACAACAGUCACCUUGAGAUGGCGUAAACCUGAGAAUAGUCCAAAAACAGUGAAAUAGGUAUUAACACCAUUUUUAUCAGUAAAGGAUAAAUCAAUUUUAAAGUCUCGACAUAGAAUAUUAUAUGAUUCCUCUGAAUAUCCAAUAUUUACAUACACUGGCCUGCUAUAUCCAUCACUUGAUGCUUAUGCGAUAAUGGUUCAGGCUGUCAAUAGUAAAGGAUCUGGUCAAGGAAUCACAAUAUCUCAAAUUCGCACUAAAAAGAAAAGGAGCAACAACCAGGGUCGGUUGUAAGAGUAAUACUUUGCGGAUGCUGGUACUGGAGAGAGAAUGAAAGUUAAAUUUAAAGAAUAAAAUGGUAAAAUUUAAAAAUAUUUUAGUAAAAGAAAAA
Molecule: long non-coding RNA, 1105 nt
Organism: Leptopilina boulardi
Lineage: Eukaryota; Metazoa; Arthropoda; Insecta; Hymenoptera; Figitidae
Exons: 4
Source: RefSeq, a predicted model, not a curated record